GUGUGGAUGACUACUGUGCUCUUUGUAUCAAUAUUUUACACAGCCAGAUACCACGCAAAAGCAAGGUUUUCCCUUGAACUGGUUUUUGAUGGUAUGUUGCCUUUUCUGUGGCACAUCAUUAUUAAAAGUGACUAUAAAU
Sorex araneus (European shrew) is the source of this 139-nucleotide small nucleolar RNA. Lineage: Eukaryota; Metazoa; Chordata; Mammalia; Eulipotyphla; Soricidae. The record is from Ensembl.